UGAAACUGGGAGUCUUGAGGGCAGGAGAGGAAAGUGGAAUUCCUGGUGUAGCGGUGAAAUGCGUAGAAAUCAGGAGGAACACCGGUGGCGAAGGCGACUUCCUGGACUGACCCUGACGCUG
Molecule: ribosomal RNA, 121 nt
Filed under: uncultured bacterium
Lineage: Bacteria
Description: partial 16S ribosomal RNA
Rfam family: Bacterial small subunit ribosomal RNA
Source: RNAcentral